GAAUAUUGGACAAUGGGCGAAAGCCUGAUCCAGCAAUGCCGCGAGAGUGAUGAAGGCCUUAGGGUUGUAAAGCUCUUUUACCCGGGAUGAUAAUGACAGUACCGGGAGCAUAAGCUCCGGCUAACCCCGUGCCAGCAGCCGCGGUAAUACGGAGGGAGCUAGCGUUGUUCGGAAUUACUGGGCGUAAAGCGCGCGUAGGCGGCUUUGUAAGUUAGAGGUGAAAGCCCGGGGCUCAACUCCGGAACUGCCUUUAAGACUGCAUCGCUAGAAUCCAGGAGAGGUGAGUGGAAUUCCGAGUGUAGAGGUGAAAUUCGUAGAUAUUCGGAAGAACACCAGUGGCGAAGGCGACUCACUGGACAAGAACUGACGCUGAGGUGCGAAAGCGUGGGGAGCAAACAGG
This 400-nucleotide ribosomal RNA is filed under the name uncultured bacterium. Its description in RNAcentral is "bacterial SSU rRNA". It matches the Rfam family "Bacterial small subunit ribosomal RNA", at positions 359 to 776 of the family's 1533-position model. The record is from RNAcentral.